GACGAACGCUGGCGGCGUGCUUAACACAUGCAAGUCGAACGGGUCUGCCCUGUUUUUUGCGGGGUGGGUCAGUGGCGAACGGGUGAGUAACACGUGAGUAACCUGCCCCUCACUUCUGGAUAACCGCUUGAAAGGGUGGCUAAUACGGGGUGUUCUGGCUGUGCCGCAUGGUGUGGCUGGGAAAGAUUCACUUUUGUGGUGUUUUGGUGUGGGAUGGGCUCGCGGCCUAUCAGCUUGUUGGUGGGGUGAUGGCCUGCCAAGGCUUUGACGGGUAGCCGGCCUGAGAGGGUGGGCGGUCACACUGGGACUGAGAUACGGCCCAGACUCCUGCGGGAGGCAGCAGUGGGGGGUAUUGCACAAUGGGCGGAAGCCUGAUGCAGCGACGUCGCGUGAGGGAUGGAGGCCUUCGGGUUGUGAACCUCUUUCGCCGGUGAAGAAGGUCCUGCUCUUUGUGGUGGGGUUGACGGUAGCCGGGUUAUGAAGCGCCGGCUAACUACGUG
RNAcentral lists this ribosomal RNA (500 nucleotides) under uncultured bacterium. RNAcentral describes it as "partial 16S ribosomal RNA". It matches the Rfam family "Bacterial small subunit ribosomal RNA", at positions 28 to 507 of the family's 1533-position model. The record is from RNAcentral.